UGGAGGCUGUUAUAGCAGCAAUGUUCCAACAUCUAGUGGAAAGCCUUCCCAGAAGACUGAAGGCUGUUAUAGCAGCAAUGUUUUAAGUGUUUAAAUCAAGUUGGUUAUUGUUUCAACUAAGGAUUGCUGCUUUAAAUAAAAUGUGAUUUGAUUUGACAGUGUGACUGAAUGGAAUAGCAAACCUACCUGCUUCACAGAAGGAGGCCAGUGUCAGAAACAGCUGAACAUCACAGUUUAUAAGCUUCCAGACCGUGUCUCCAUCAGCUACAGGAAGUACCCUGAUCCGAUGGUUGAGGGGCAUCAGUACCUGCUGCAGUGUCUUGUCCAGAACAUCGCUCCUAUUGGGAGACUUAGGGUGACCUUCUACAAAGUCAGUGCCACUGGUGAACAGACAGAAUUAGACACACAAACAGAAAUCCAAGGACAACAUCAAGACACCAGAGAAUGGGACCUACACCCUGGACUUCACCCCUGGUAGAGAUGAUGACGGGGCCCAGUUGUUGUGUUCGGCCAUGUUGGAUCUGGGACCAGAGGGACCCCAACCUCCUCCUGUAAUGGACUCAAACCGCCUCAACACCAACGUGCACUACAAGCCUCAGAUCACUAGUCCUGGAUGUUUCUCCAUGAGCAUCACGGAGGGUGACACCCUAUCACUUAACUGUAGAGCAAAUGGUAACCCUGCCCCCUCCUACAAUUGGUUGCU
Oncorhynchus kisutch (coho salmon) is the source of this 703-nucleotide long non-coding RNA. RefSeq lists it as uncharacterized. The record is from RefSeq and is a predicted model, not a curated record. NCBI's taxonomy places the organism in Eukaryota, Metazoa, Chordata, Actinopteri, Salmoniformes, Salmonidae. The transcript has 3 exons.